GGGCCUUUAGCUUAAUGGUAAAGUGCUUUCUUGUCACGAAAGAUUAUGUCGGUUCAAUUCCGAUAAGGCUCG
This is a non-coding RNA of Ceratobasidium sp. 414, 72 nucleotides long. NCBI's taxonomy places the organism in Eukaryota, Fungi, Basidiomycota, Agaricomycetes, Cantharellales, Ceratobasidiaceae. The record is from the annotation of a GenBank genome assembly.